This 525-nucleotide ribosomal RNA is filed under the name uncultured bacterium. RNAcentral describes it as "bacterial SSU rRNA". It matches the Rfam family "Bacterial small subunit ribosomal RNA", at positions 28 to 538 of the family's 1533-position model. The record is from RNAcentral.
GACGAACGCUGGCGGCGUGCCUAACACAUGCAAGUCGAGCGGAGUCGAUCGACGGAAGCCUUCGGGCGGAAGAUGGUUGACUUAGCGGCGGAUGGGUGAGUAACGCGUGGGCAACCUGCCUCGAAGACCGGGAUAACAGCCCGAAAGGGCUGCUAAUACCGGAUGUGGUCAAGGAUCCGCAUGGAUUUUUGAUUAAAGGGGAAACCCGUUUCGAGAUGGGCCCGCGUCCUAUCAGCUAGUUGGUGAGGUAAAAGCUCACCAAGGCGACGACGGGUAGCCGGCCUGAGAGGGUGACCGGCCACACUGGAACUGAGACACGGUCCAGACUCCUACGGGGGGCAGCAGUGGGGAAUCUUCCACAAUGGGCGAAAGCCUGAUGGAGCGACGCCGCGUGAGCGAAGAAGGCCUGGUUGUAAGACUCUGUCUGGAGGGACGGAAGGAAGGUAGGACGGUAACCGUCCCGGACGGAAGGACCGACGGCGUAACUACGUACGCCACGCAGCCGCGGUAAACGUAACGUACUAU